AAGACUCUAGUAAAAUAAUUACAUUACCUUGUCAAGGUAAAAUUGUGGGUUAAACUCCCACGAAUCUUA
This 69-nucleotide transfer RNA is filed under the name Bathyraja interrupta (sandpaper skate). Its description in RNAcentral is "tRNA-Asp". It matches the Rfam family "tRNA". From Rfam's summary of the family: Transfer RNA (tRNA) molecules are approximately 80 nucleotides in length. Their secondary structure includes four short double-helical elements and three loops (D, anti-codon, and T loops). Lineage: Eukaryota; Metazoa; Chordata; Chondrichthyes; Rajiformes; Arhynchobatidae. The record is from RNAcentral.